RNAcentral lists this ribosomal RNA (428 nucleotides) under uncultured bacterium. RNAcentral describes it as "partial 16S ribosomal RNA". It matches the Rfam family "Bacterial small subunit ribosomal RNA", at positions 354 to 796 of the family's 1533-position model. The record is from RNAcentral.
GUGGGGAAUAUUGGGCAAUGGGGGAAACCCUGACCCAGCAACGCCGCGUGAGGGAAGAAGGUUUUCGGAUUGUAAACCUCUGUCCUUGGUGACGAAGGAAGUGACGGUAACCAAGGAGGAAGCCCCGGCUGACUACGUGCCAGCAGCCGCGGUAAUACGUAGGGGGCAAGCGUUGUCCGGAAUGACUGGGCGUAAAGGGCGUGUAGGCGGCCGAUUAAGUCUGGAGUGAAAGUCCUGCUUUCAAGGUGGGAAUUGCUUUGGAGACUGGUUGGCUUGAGUGCGGAAGAGGUAAGUGGAAUUCCCAGUGUAGCGGUGAAAUGCGUAGAGAUUGGGAGGAACACCAGUGGCGAAGGCGACUUACUGGGCCGUAACUGACGCUGAGGCGCGAAAGCGUGGGGAGCGAACAGGAUUAGAUACCCGGGUAGUCC